GAGGAAAGCUGGCGGCCUUCCUCAUACAUUCACUUCGACCGAACUGACGAGAAGCUUGCUUCUCUUAUGUUAGCGGCGGACGGGUGAGUAACACGUGUAUAACCUACCUAUAAGACUGGGAUAACUUCGGGAAACCGUAGCUCAUACCGUAUAAUAUUUUGAACCGCAUGGUUCAAAAGUUAAAGACGGUCUUGCUUUCACUUAUAGAUGGAUCCGCGCUGCAUUAGAUAGUUGGUAAGGUACCGGAUUACCCCAUCCACGAUGAAUAGCCGACCUGAGAGGGACAUAGGCCACGAUGAAAAUGAGCAACACUCCAGACUCAUACGGGAGGCAGCAGUGGGGAAUCUUCCGCAAUGGGCGCAAGCCUGGAGGAGCAACGCCGCGUGAGUGAUGAAGGCCUUCGGAUUGUAAAAAGAUGGGAUUAGGGAAGAACAUAUGUGUAAGUAACUGUGCAAAUCUUGAAGGUACCAACUGAGAAAGCAAAGGGUAAAAACGGG
Molecule: ribosomal RNA, 497 nt
Filed under: uncultured bacterium
Lineage: Bacteria
Description: partial 16S ribosomal RNA
Rfam family: Bacterial small subunit ribosomal RNA
Source: RNAcentral